CCACUACGCUAACAUUUUAUGAAGAUAAGAUGAAGAUCAUUAAAGAGUUUAAACCAUUAAUUGCUGAAAAAUUUAGUUAAGAUAAUUCCAAGACUUUGUUAUGGCUAUUGAUGAAUUUCAACAUCAAGAAACUUGUAAAUUAAAAUAUGACGAGAAAUUUGUAUACUUUGCAGCUUGUUACAGAUGUUAUUUGAAUGGUGCAUGAAGGGAGACCAUAUUAGGGAGGUUAUUAUGCAACAAUACUUAAAAUGUCCAUAUCUAAAGUCAUUGAUGUUGUGCACUACAUUUUGAAGCAUAGUUUUAAAUGCCACU
RNAcentral lists this long non-coding RNA (312 nucleotides) under Elaeis guineensis (African oil palm). RNAcentral's name for it is "long non-coding RNA (EGUI_LNC062745)". Lineage: Eukaryota; Viridiplantae; Streptophyta; Magnoliopsida; Arecales; Arecaceae. The record is from RNAcentral.